AUCAGGAUUAACCUUUUUUGGCUUUUGUGCUGAUGAGAUUUAGUGAGCCCUGCACGUCUCCUGGCUUAGAAGCAGACUUUUUGCUAAAUAAGAUUUGUACCGUUUCAUAAAUAUUAACCCAGAUAUACACAGCCAGUUAAAAGUAAUAAUGCCCCUGAGUUGAAAUCUAUAUGUUAAUUUCAAAUUCUGUUUGAAUUGAUCGGAUUGAUAUUAGGAGGAUUAAAAAUCUUUGUCAAUUUAUGUUUCAGGCCAUGCAUUAAUGAGAAAGGUGAAACACCACAGGCAUUUUCUCCAACUUUGUUUUUCAAUUUAAGUAGGGAUGAUGUCAUCUUUCUUUCAACAAAAUCAUUUAGACCCUGAUGGCCCUUGUUUUUUCAUUGUCUAACAAGCAGCAAGAGCUCUAAAUUUAUACAUCAAGGUGGAGAGCAAAGCUAGAGAAGAGCAAUACGGACUGAAAUUUUAAUGUGGUCCCAGAGCGAGCUACUUGGAGGGAUGACAUUUGCACACUGAUAGGCUCACUAUCGGACUUCCUCUGGUGGCUCAGCAGAGUGCUCACCCUUAGAAGCCCAGGCCACAUGAAGAAGACAUGGGUGAGUGAGUGGUCAACAAUCCCAGCAAAAUCCUCAACAAGUGACUGGAAUCAGUCAUCAGACAUGUGAGUAAAUGAAUCUUCACUCACUCCAGCCCCCAGUGUUAAGCCAUACCAGUUGACGCCAUGCAGAGCAGAGACG
RNAcentral lists this long non-coding RNA (731 nucleotides) under Bos indicus x Bos taurus (hybrid cattle). Its description in RNAcentral is "lncRNA (ENSBIXG00005015220.1)". Lineage: Eukaryota; Metazoa; Chordata; Mammalia; Artiodactyla; Bovidae. The record is from RNAcentral.